Molecule: long non-coding RNA, 3866 nt
Organism: Gasterosteus aculeatus aculeatus (three-spined stickleback)
Lineage: Eukaryota; Metazoa; Chordata; Actinopteri; Perciformes; Gasterosteidae
Source: Ensembl
GGGGGGGUGAAGUGAUCAGACCUGAGGGGAAAGCCUCUGAUGGGUGGGGGGGGGGCCGUGGGGCCUCAGGUGGAGGACUCUUGCCUCGGGGGUCUCCAUGUGUCGGCCCCCGGAUACUGACAGAUGUCUCUCUCUCUCCCUCUGUGAAGAAACAGAAACAAUUCACCGCUAAUCAGCAGAUGAUACUGCAGCAGCAGGGGGGGGGAUGUAAGGAUGUAAGGGCGAAGAGCAAGGAGGGGAUGGGGUUGGGGGGGGGCUUACUUUCCCUGUAGAUAUGCGAUGUCUGUGUCUUGACGUGGCAACAUAUUGCGCUGUUUUCAUUCACUCCUCUCUCCUCCUUCCAAGACACGGUGACCGUGAUGAGCACGAAUACAUGCUGACGAUCACAUUCCCUCCUGUGUGUGUGUGUGUUUGUUUGUGUGUCCAUCGGCCGUAAAUCCAUCUGUGCCGAGGCGGUUGUUGUCCGACCGGUGUCUGGAUCUGUUUCUCACCCACGCGACGCGUUCUUCAGCCACGGCAAUGCGGCCGCUGUAUUUUUUUUUCCGUGCACGUGUUUGCGAUGAUGCUACGUGGUGUUUUGUGCGCCCGCCCUCGCCAGUGUCUGCCUGCGGCGACGUGGUAUCCUCCAGGGGUCGUUCAUCCUCAGAUCGGGCCUGUAAAUCACAGUGAUUGAUCAGCCUCCUGCCCCCUCCCCUCCUCAUUCCAAUCUGAUUCCUGCCCCCCUCCCCUCCUCCAACACUCCCCCGUCCGAGGGCCCGCCGGUGAUCAAUCACUCCUUCAGUCGGACAGGUAGGUGUGACAUCACCGUCAUCCAACACUCCGCCUUAAAGAAGCACACUGAGGAUCUGCGAUCAGCUAAGUGAGGACAACAGGAAAGGAAAAUGAAAGAGAAAGAAUGCACCCCCCCCCCCCCCCCCCCCCCAAAGUAAUCCUAUUGACUUGCAUUCACUUGGUGACAAUAAAGAAGGUGGAGUGGAGACGACUCCAUGGCUCAUGAAAAGAAAUGAGCCAAUUUGCAUACUUGAUAUUCUCACUAAAGCUCUACCUCGGCACAGCACGGGCUCAAGGAAAGGCCAACGUGACCCUGAACACUGCGUGCACGGCUAGGGGUCCCCCGAAGAGAGGAGUGGGGAUUACCGGUUCAUUCCCACCGCGCUCGACUGUGUUGUUAACUGCUUCAUGUGCAGAGUACACUCCUCCUUAGGUCGGGGGUCGGGGGUCAUCCCACUUGAGACAAACCGUCCGAAAAGAGGAUUUACAGCUGAAGGAGGAACGUUUCCCAGAAUAUCUGCAGCACACUUGAGCGACUCCUCCCACCACAGCGGGAACAUUGACUUGUGCUGCUCCCUGCUGGACAGGCUGCAAAACCCAAAUACAUGUUCGUUCCUGAAAUGUAGGACAAUAUGUCCCUUUUAAAUAUGAUAAUAUUUUUUGGUGCAGCACAUUUUUAUGACUUCUUUUAAAAAGAAAACACACACGCCUGACUACCGACAUGCAACUCACCUAGAAGUGAUACAUUGGACCUGCUUUGUAAAGAUAAAGUCAGGAAAUGUCCACAUGAGCUAAUAGCUGCAGCUAUACAAAACACCUCUCAGGGUCAACUCCAACAGAAAAUAAACUUGUGUGUGAUACCUCAUAAUAGCAUUGACUGUGCGUAAAUAAUGCAAAAUGCAUUAAAGCUUUAAUGUACACAUUGUUGUUUUGGAUUCAAAAACACAAAUGGAGUAGAAACAGAAUGUGAUAUUUCUAGAAAUGCAUCUUGAUGCAGAGCGGUUGUCUGUAUCUCUACAAAUGAUCCAGCAGGUGGCAGCAAAGCUACAAAGAUAAAGUGUCAGGGACCAAAGGGAAACUUCACAGUCCCCCAACAAUGGACAUAGUCGGUGAGGCAAAAUUAUCUGCAGAGGUUUAAGGAUUGAAAUGCUCGCAGGCGCCUAUAGGUGCUAUUGUGAAAAAUUCUCACAGAUUACCAGGAAAAGAAUUUCCACGUGUUGCACAACAUUCUUGUUGCUGGACAUAUUUGUCCAAUCUCGAACCAUAGCUUGCGGCUUCAGGCCGGCGCUGCGAGCUCUCACUUUCAGAGUCUCUGAGAGGUGGAGCUGUGAAACAAACAGUUAUGAAGUGGCCCUUCCCGCCCUUCACAUUGUUCUUAUCAAUCCGCAUGCAGCCCGCGGCACCGACGUACAGGGCAUACAACCCUGUUGAAGGUUGACCACUGCUGACAGUUUUAUCGGCUUUGUUGACUCCAUUACACCGACCCGUGACUGAUGUGCCACAUGAUGCGCUCUCCAGAGGUCAGAGGGCGCAGGAAACAUUAACGAGAACAGCAGGUCAUAAAGAUAAGGGAUACCGAUGAAAGGUGAUGGUUUCAGUUCAUUUGGCCGUUUUUUUUAAUCCAAAUGGAGGGAAAUGUACACAACUACGUGAAUCAGGAAUCAGGAAACAUUUAUUGCCAAAAUAUGUCAGACAUACAAGGAAUUUGUCUUGGUGGUUGGUGCGUGACAGUAGACUCGUCACUUUGCCGUCACUCGUCACUUUGUUACUUGUUCGUUUGUUACUUGUUUGUUACUUGUUCGCUUAAUAUUUUUUAAAUUUGUUAAUAUUUUAAAUUUUUAACUCUAACUUUAUUUUCUUGUUUUAUACUAACCCAUAACCUUAUUCUACUUACUCAUUGCAUUAGCAUUUCAUUUUACUUUAAUUUAUUACUUGUGCACUGCUGUCUUGUUGUCUAUUGUUACACUGUCUACUGUCACGCACCAACUGCCAAGACAAAUUCCUUGUAUGUCUGACAAAUUUUGGCAAUAAAUGUUUCCCGAUUCCUGGAAACCUGUGUUUGCCACAUAUCUUGCUUUCUAAGAUAAAGCGAGGAAAACAACAUGAGUAAUCUUCAUAGGGAACCAGUGGGAUGAUGGUUGGUCAAAAAAAAAUAUUCAAAAAAAUAAUGAAGAAAUAUUCACGAAAAUAUUCACGAAAAUAUUCACAAAAAAUAUUCACGAAAAGAUUCACAAAAAAUAUUCAUGAAGAUAUUCAAGAAAUAUUCAAAAAAUAAUGAAAAAAUAAUCACGAAAAUAUUCAAGAAAUAUUCAAAGGAGUGAUUGAUUACAAAGGUUAUUAUAUGUGAUAAGUGGGAAAGGAAACAUGUGUUUGCCACAUAACUUGCUUUCUACAAUUUUGCCAGGAAAACCAAAGGAGUGAUCUUUAUAGGGAACCAGUGGGAUGAUGGUUGGUCAAAAAAAUAUUCAAAAAAAUAUUCAGGAAAAUAUUCAAAAAAAUAAUGAAAAAAUAGUCACGAAAAUAUUCACAAAAAUAUUCAUGAAAAUAUUCAAGAAAUAUUCAAAGGAAUGAUUGAUUACAAAGAUUAUUAUAUGUAAUUAUAAGGGGGGAAGGAAACCUGUGCUUGCCACAUAUCUUGCUUUCUACCAUUUUGCUAGGAAAACAAAAGGAGUGAUCUUUAUAAGGAACCAGUGGGAUGAUGGUUGGUCAAAAAAAAUAUUCAAAAAAAUAUUCAAAAAAAUAUUCAAGAAAAUAUUCAUGAAAAUAUUCAUGAAAAUAUUCAAGAAAUAUUCAAAGGAAUGAUUGAUUACAAAGGUUAUUAUAUGUGAUAAGUGGGGAAGGAAACCUGUGUUUGCCACAUAUCUUGCUUUCUACAAUUUUGCCAGGAAAACAAAAGGAGUGAUCUUCAUAGGGAAGUAUUGGGAUGAUGGUUGGUCAAAAACAAUAUUCAAGAAAAUAUUCAAGAAAAUAUUCACGAAAAUAUUCAUGAAAAUAUUCAUGAAAAUAUUCAAGAAAUUUUCAAAGGAAUGAUUGAUUACAAAGAUUAUUAUAUGUGAUAAGGGGGGAAGGAAACCUGUGUUUGCCACAUAUCUUGC